This is a long non-coding RNA of Pseudopipra pipra, 6354 nucleotides long. RefSeq lists it as uncharacterized. NCBI's taxonomy places the organism in Eukaryota, Metazoa, Chordata, Aves, Passeriformes, Pipridae. The transcript is spliced from 3 exons. The record is from RefSeq and is a predicted model, not a curated record.
AAGAGGGGAAGAAUGAACGACCUUGCUGGCGAUUUACAGAAUCUUUUAACACAAACUGGAGGUUUGAGGCCAAAUGUCUCUUCCCAAUCCCUCAUACUGGUUUCAUGUAGGUAAAGAAGAUUCUUAUUCUUUACCUGGGUUGGGAUUACUGAGUUCAAAAGAUUAGUGUGCUUGCCGUGUGUCUGAUCUCUGGAACUGCUGGGGCACCUAGCAAAGCUGUAAGGGGAAAUGAAAAUAAGAAACACUAGAAAUGUUGAUUAUUAGACCCAGAAAGAUCAGAUACAGAUAUGAACUGAAUGCUAAAACUCUGGCAUAGAGCAUACAUGGCAUGAAUCAUCUCAAUUAAAGGGAGGAUAUUACUUAGCCAGAUGAAAAAAUUAUGCCCUGACAUUAAAAGCUACUAGUUUGUUUUACUUUUUUCUGGCACUUUAUUAUUUCUGAAGCUUUAAAGAACUCCAGCCUCAUAACUCCCAUGAUGAGUGUUCUAAUUAUGAACAUUAAGAAUGUCUUCUGAUUGUUUUGAAUUAGCUAAUAACUUGAUAUGCUAAAUAAAUCAGGCAGUUCCCAGUCCAAAUGUAGCGUCUGGCUUUGGAAAUACAGUGUGCUCCCUUCUCUGCUGUGUGAAAUGGGUCUGAACAGCUGGAACAAAUGUUCUUGUCACUAAAUUAUAAAUUACAGCUGUCGAGAAUAAAACAUUUAGUUCCAGCACUCAAGAAAUAGAUUUUUAAGAAGUCUUCCCAUUUAUCAGUUUAGCCAUUGAUUAUGUGUGUAAGGUCAUUGAAUCAGAGCAGUAAUGAAUGGAAUUCUUGAUUGCUCAAAUACCAGACUAAAUGUACCCAUAGUUUUACAUCCAGGAACUUGAUAAUACUUAAGAAUGCCUUAGAGCAUUUCAGGAACUAAUGCUGUAUGUAAGCACUUAUGCACUGCCUUUCUGAUCAGCAGUAACAUGUUUGCUGAGCGGGGGAGGAAGAUAAAUUUGCUUCCAUGAGCUCCCUACUUGUCAGGUUUUCAGUCUGUCAAGUGCUGCAUAGUGGCAGAUUAAUUUCCCAAAGGUUGAGAUUGCCUUGAUGGCUGUGGAGUGGCAGGAGAUCAGGAUUAGGGUCCUGAUCUAGCAAUAACCAUUUGACUGACAGCCUUCUUUUCCUUAGUGCAAGAGGCAGGAGGUGGAAGAUUGCCAUACCUGUUCCAAAAUAGAUAUAAUCUACCAUCACAGCCUGCCAUUGUUCCUCAGGCCUGUCUGGAGGUGAAACCUGAAAUUAGCAUGUAGAUUUGACCUAGAUUUGGGGGUUUUUUUGUGGUUUUGUUUUGGUUUGGUUUUUUGGGUUUUUUUGGGGGGUUUUUGGUUGGUUGGUUGGUUUUUUUUAUAUUGGUCCUGCUACCUGGUAUUUGAAUAGUUUCAUUUUCCACACAUGCUGAUAGCUUCAGUCUUUGCCAGCGUAGAGGGGGCUUCAACUUUUCAAGUUUUAUACCCUUGUUUUCACAAAUCUCUUCUAAUUAUAGUUGUUUUGAGCAGAAGGUUAAGGAGUAUCUGCAGGGUGCUUGUGACACUGCUGUGCUUGCACACUGUUCCCGUGCUCAAGAUUUCUGUUUGUGAAAUCAUCAACUCAGCAUCCUUUAGGUGCCAUUUCAAUGGAAAUAGCUAAGAUAUGCAAGUAAGUGUUACAGAUCCUUUUGAAGUGAUGUGCAGUUGGGAGGAAUAAGGGAGGAAGAAAAUACGUUCUUGUGCUUGCAGGAAUACCUGAAGAUCAUUUUUCUUAAAGAUGCAUGGUGAGGUUGGCAGCUACUAGUUCUGACACCUUUUAUGGUGCUCCCUCCAAAGCUCAAGUUUUCUUUCUGGAUAUUUCAUGGAAGUCUGCAUUGGGAAGUUUUUUCCGGUCUGAACACUUACAGACUUGCUUUCUCUGCCCAUCAGUCUUGAUAAAACUCUCAGGAACCAAGUUAUCUUUGAUUCUUCUGGUGCUAUUCGAGUAAGUCGUGAAAAUCCGAGGGCAGACUCCAGAGGGAAAGGGGGCACAGUCUUUGCAUAAGUUUCUUCAAACAGAAAACCAAAGCUAAAUAACAGCUGUAAAGAUCUUAUCCAUAGUCUAAAGGUGGCUGUUGUCCCCUUUCCAAAUGCCCUUCCCCAGCCUGGUAAUUGUCCAUAACUGCAGAAUUUGCAUUGGCAAGGGAAAAACUUCUUCUAAAAAAGAGGUGUAAAAAAAACCCAUCAGCACAAACAACUAACAGCCAGUGAUUACAGCUCGAGUAAGAGGUAGAAGCAGGCGUGUUUCAGCUGAACAGGGGCUGGUGAGGAACAGAGGAAGCACUUAUGCAUCAGGUGUAAGUUGGUAAGCCAGCAAUCUAUUAAAUAAAUUAAUCCUCUUUCUGCUUUAGGAAUAUCAAUGAGCUUUGUGGUUCCCUUUGCCUUCUCUUCAAUGUAUUCAGUAAAUACCUUUCUGUAGGCUGCUGGCAAACUCUGUUCAGUGCUGUAGUGGGGAAUCCAGAAGUUGUGUGGUUGUGUUUCUUUCUGCCCCUAUUGGAAAAGCACACAAAUAUUCUCUGCAUGGAUUAGUUUCACUUGGAAAUUCACUUUGGAAAAAAAAGUGUCUGGGGUAAACCAGGUCAUUCAAAUUGCAGAAAAAGGGAAAAGUAUGUUGACCAAAUGGGCAAAAUCAAUUUGUUAGGAAAUCAAGUCUGGACAGAGCAUCUCUGUCCAGAUGGUAUCUCAGCUCAGUCAUUCAGCUUGAAUAACAGAGUAUUUUUGUUUCCCUGGUACCAACCACGAGUGCUUUGCUGUUGGGAACAGAAAGUAUGUUUUGGAACUAGAGCGAUUGCAAAGUUCGUAUAGCUUGCAAAUUAAAGACUAGAUCUUGUCCCUGGUAGGCAUCUAUUUUUCCUGGAUUUACUAAAUAUUCCAUUACUCUACUUCUUGCUCUGGUCAGUCCAAGCUUAUAGUUGCUUUGGUUGUUAUGGGGUUAGAUGCAGCAUUUACAACACUCUGGAAUUAUCUCAAAGGCCUUUAUAGAAAAUAUUUCUUUGCAAUAAAAUUAUCCCUACAUGAGCUAGAGGAUCUUGUAUUCCAAUUUCCUAUUGUGCAACAUCAUGUGUAAAAUUCACAUUUUGAGCUCACCUCAUUGGCUGAUGUGCAUAGAUGUAUCUAUAUCUAUAUCUAUAUAUAUAUUUACACACACGUAUACAUGGGCAUGUCUCCAGUACAGAUGCAGUUUUAUUCUGUGGUCUGCAAACAGUAUCUCUUGGCCAACAAUAGAAGAGAAAAAGAACCCAGCAAGGUGGGCAGUGCUCAAUAGCUCCAGUAAGCCCUAUGCCCCAUAUGGUCUCUUAGGGUUCAAGAACCACAAGACAAAAAGAUGGAUUUUUAAUGCACUUAGGCCAAAUGUCACUAUAUAUUUAUUUUAUUUGCUAUUUGUGGUAGAAAUGGGAAAAGAUGCUUAUUAGAUUUAAAAUAAUUUUAGUUUCUAUACUCUUUUAGGUUUUAAACUUGUUCAAAUACAUGUUUGUAGAAGUAUGUGAUACCCUGCAUCAGCUUCAGGCCUCCUUUAUGGCUGUCAGUAACUAUAUAAUGGAAUCCAUGGGGAUGGCUGUCACAAACAGUUACAUGUUAAGUACAGACCUAUCCAUCUUUUAAGCCAUAAUGCCAUUUAUUUUUGUGUAAUAUGCUUCGUGUACUGAUUAGACUCCUGUACCCUCCUUAGAAGGGAAACUAUCCUAUGUCUAUAAAGCAGAAGAGUGGUGGGGGUUUUUUGCAGGUAUUGCUUUUUUAACAUACUAAGAAUUUCACAUUUUUCAUCCUCGUAGUUUCUUUUGAAGUUGAAGAAUAAAUUAUUUCCUUUCUGCUUUGAACUAAAGGAAAGUAAUUAAGUAGUGCUGAACUGAACAAACAACCAUUACUUUUAGGUACCACAGACUUAUUUCCCUAUAAUUUUUUAUAGGUCAGUCAAGCUGUAAAUUACCCAGGAAAGCCCUCAGGUAGACCUUUUGCUAAUUGUCUGACAGGGCUGCCUGCUUUUAAACCAAAGACUAGCAGCUGAAGAUCUGUGCUGUAGUGAAGAAGGGAAAGUUAAAAGAGAUUAAAACAGUAUGAAAAGAACUGUUUAUUUCAUAGCUGCUCUGAAUAUGGUCCCACCCUGCAGGCAGAUUGUGGUAAAGGCUGAAAGUGUGAAGAGAAGAUUAAAAUAACUAAAUGGUGAAAUGGCAGAAUAUGCUGAGUGUGUGGGGAACAGGAGAUGGGUGUCUGCCUGUGAAUUUUUGAGUGAUUUUUUCCUCUGUGCAAGUCACUCUAGGUUCAAGUUGUUUGGCCAUGGUCAUAGAGAAACAAUAUGUAGUGUGGGCAUUUGCACUGUUACCUCACACUUUCCUUUUUUUUGUCUGUCCAUCUUUACAGUCUGUGACUUGGAAGACCUAAAGCACAUCUUAUAGCAACAUUAAGAGCUGGGAAUACUGUGUGCACUGCAUGCAACUCCAAUUCAUUUUGGUUUUUGUUGUGAAGAGGCAUUAUCAGCUAUUAUGCCCACAGUGUGUUCUCAUCCAUUAAUCAUUCAUAUGUCCUCUUCUGCAGACUUAUCCUUGGAAGGUAUCAAUUUUACUGGAAUAUAACCUGGAAGACUUUCUUUUAAGAAUUAGAAAUGUUGGUUUUGCAGGUUCUUUAAACUCUCUUCUUUAGUUACACUGUGUUGCAACUGUGAUACCUGAAGGUAAAAUACACCAGUGCCUUUAAAAGGGAAAAACUGGCAGCUGAAAAAACAGGAGAAUUUUCCUGCACCAGAUUCCUGUCUGUUCAAGCAUCAUGAAAAGGAGCUAUUUAAAUGUUAAUUGGCUGAGUAAUGUAACUUCACAAGUGUGAGUUUCAGUGUGUUACCCUGUGCAGUGUCCUGAGAUGACAACUGUGUGGCUGAAAGGCCUGAAAAACGUUCAGUUCUGCACAUGUUGCUCACAAACACUUGAAGAAGUGAAUCGAGACUCAGUGCCUUACCUUCCCAUCACAAGUGUGGUGGGUCCAUUGCAGUAGGUUUGCAGUAUGAGGUGUGUCACACACAAUAGGAUGGUGGAUACACAUCCCAGUUCAAAGCUGGAGACUCAGUCAGAGCUGUCUCCUGUAUGUAAAUCCUUGCCCUGACAUCACUGCCCCACGUCCAUGGAGCAAAGGCAGGAAAAACAUGAGUACAUGGGAAUUAAUUUUCAUGCCUCUGGCGUUAUGGGGGCCUUUUUGUUGUUUUGGUUUGACUUUUUUUUUAUUCCAUGCUUGUUUGACACUGUUUUAAGACACUGUUUUAAGCUCUCAACUGUUCAUUUUAUGUGUGUUUCCCUCUCUGGGUCUACCUUUGCAAGGUGCUGAGGGCUGACCUUGGAACAACAAUGUGAGCAGUGGACCAGCUGUACUGCUCUAAACCUGUGUGUGUGUAUUGAGUAAAUGUAUGUAAACCCUCAGUCAGUUGAUAUUUGGUGGGCCUUCUAAUCCACUGGCACAGGGAUCUGUUCCAUCCUGCUAGAUAUGUUAGCUUUAGCUUUCAAAUGAGCAGGUCUGAUCUUUAGCAGCAGACUUUGUACUCGUGUUUCAACACAAAUUUGAAGACUUUUUUUAUUUCUUAUGGGAAUAGUAUUGACUGUUAACUCUGUUUCCUUGCAGUGAUGGUUCCUGUUUGGUAGGAUGACUGGUUUUUUCUGGUUAUAGAUACACAUCCUAAGACUUUUUCUGAUAUUUGCACUUGAGAAGCUCUGCCAGGACAAAAUGAUAAUAAAAGUGAAGCAGUUUGCAUGUCCAGCCUCAGUUCUCUGCACUCUUGGUGCCCUCCUGCCAUUCAUGCUCCUGCUGAGGUCAGUGUCCCUGUGUCUUCAAAUCUCCAGGUUUUCGUCUUGGCUUCUGGCUUUGACAGGCAGAUCCUAUGGGAGAUUGCUGUGUUCAUCCCAACAAAUGCAGUGUGGUAGCUCCCACCAUGGGCAGCUGGCAGCCAGGUCUGAGCACCCUGUGCACUCCAAAAUUUGGUACGGGUUGGUGACAGUGGUUAUACAUUCUGUGAAGUGAGUCUUCCUGAGCUUUGCUGGUCGUCUCUGCAAGUGGCAACUGGGUCUUUUUUCUUCUGCUCGUGAACCUUUAGCAGUGUUGCUCAUCACUGAUUGAUGGAUGAGGCUCUGAAACUGCUAUAAUUAAGAUAGUGUUCACACUGCCAUAAUUACAAGAUACAGCAAUUUUAUUAGCCAGGAUUAUUUAUUAGUCACAGCAAUCAAAGCUGCAUUUUGAUUAGUCACAGGAGGACCUGACAGAACAUGGAUGUUAACAUUAUGUAUCCAAUGUGUUCAUUUGCAAGCUUGUCAUAUUUUGUCAUGGUGGCAAUAAAUGGUGUUAAACUGCUUUUUCAA